This 512-nucleotide ribosomal RNA is filed under the name uncultured bacterium. RNAcentral describes it as "partial 16S ribosomal RNA". It matches the Rfam family "Bacterial small subunit ribosomal RNA", at positions 28 to 507 of the family's 1533-position model. The record is from RNAcentral.
GAUGAACGCUGGCGGCGUGCCUAAUACAUGCAAGUCGAACGAAACUUCUUUAUCACCGAGUGCUUGCACUCACCGAUAAAGAGUUGAGUGGCGAACGGGUGAGUAACACGUGGGCAACCUGCCCAAAAGAGGGGGAUAACACUUGGAAACAGGUGCUAAUACCGCAUAACCAUAGUUACCGCAUGGUAACUAUGUAAAAGGUGGCUAUACUACCGCUUUUGGAUGGGCCCGCGGCGCAUUAGCUAGUUGGUAGGGUAAAGGCUUACCAAGGCAAUGAUGCGGAGCCGAAUUGAGAGGUUGAUCGGCCACAUUGGGACUGAGACACGGCCCAAACUCCUACGGGAGGCAGCAGUAGGGAAUCUUCCACAAUGGGCGAAAGCCUGAUGGAGCAACGCCGCGUGGGUGAAGAAGGUCUUCGGAUCGUAAAACCCUGUUGUUAGAGAAGAAAGUGCGUGAGAGUAACUGUUCACGUUUCGACGGUAUCUAACCAGAAAGCCACGGCUAACUACGUG